RNAcentral lists this transfer RNA (72 nucleotides) under Pangasianodon gigas (Mekong giant catfish). RNAcentral describes it as "tRNA-Glu". It matches the Rfam family "tRNA". From Rfam's summary of the family: Transfer RNA (tRNA) molecules are approximately 80 nucleotides in length. Their secondary structure includes four short double-helical elements and three loops (D, anti-codon, and T loops). Lineage: Eukaryota; Metazoa; Chordata; Actinopteri; Siluriformes; Pangasiidae. The record is from RNAcentral.
UCCCUGGAGGACUAGUGGCUAGGCCACAGCACUCUCACUGCUACGGCCCGGGUUCAAUUCCCAGCCAGGGAA